Molecule: ribosomal RNA, 300 nt
Filed under: uncultured Pyrobaculum sp.
Lineage: Archaea; Thermoproteati; Thermoproteota; Thermoprotei; Thermoproteales; Thermoproteaceae
Description: bacterial SSU rRNA
Rfam family: Bacterial small subunit ribosomal RNA
Source: RNAcentral
GCUAGCGGUGUGGACGAGGGCGUGGUAAGACAGAGGGGGCGGGCGGGUUCCGGAAUCAGGGGGGGUAAAGGGCGCGUAGGUGGCACUCCAAGUCUGUGGUGAAAGUUCGAUGCUCAACAUCGAGUCGGCUACGGAGACUGGAGAGGUCGAGCACUGUAGGGGCAGAUGGAAUUCCGGGUGUAGCGGUGGAAUGCGUAGAGAUCCGGAAGAACACCGGUGGCGAAGGCGGUCUGCUGGGCAGUAGCUGACACUGAGGCGCGACAGCGUGGGGAGCAAACAGGAUUAGAUACCCUAGUAGUC